RNAcentral lists this ribosomal RNA (524 nucleotides) under Hippocampus zosterae (dwarf seahorse). Its description in RNAcentral is "partial 16S ribosomal RNA". It matches the Rfam family "Bacterial large subunit ribosomal RNA", at positions 1847 to 2571 of the family's 2925-position model. Lineage: Eukaryota; Metazoa; Chordata; Actinopteri; Syngnathiformes; Syngnathidae. The record is from RNAcentral.
AAGAGGUCCCGCCUGCCCUGUGACCAUGUGUUUAACGGCCGCGGUAUUUUGACCGUGCAAAGGUAGCGCAAUCACUUGUCUUUUAAAUAAAGACCUGUAUGAAUGGCAUAACGAGGGCUAAACUGUCUCCUUACCCCAGUUAAUGAAAUUGAUCUUUCCGUGCAGAAGCGGGAAUAAACCCAUAAGACGAGAAGACCCUGUGGAGCUUUAGAUGAUAAAUGAAUUUAUUUAAAAAUCAGUGCCGAAUAAAAGGCAGUAAAACAAUAACCUCAUUUUAAAUCUUUAGUUGGGGCGACCGCGGAGUAAUACAAAACCUCCGUGAGGAUUGAGGUAAAACCUUAUACCUAAGAAUGUCAUUUCUAAGUGUCAGAAUAUUUGACCCACAGAUCCGGCAAUAGCCGAUUAACGAACCUAGUUACCCCAGGGAUAACAGCGCAAUCCUCUUUGAGAGUCCCUAUCGACAAGGGGGUUUACGACCUCGAUGUUGGAUCAGGACAUCCUAAUGGUGUAGCCGCUAUUAAGGG